This 650-nucleotide ribosomal RNA is filed under the name uncultured marine bacterium. Its description in RNAcentral is "bacterial SSU rRNA". It matches the Rfam family "Bacterial small subunit ribosomal RNA", at positions 72 to 707 of the family's 1533-position model. The record is from RNAcentral.
CUUGCUUUGCUAAGUCUAGUGGCGAACGGGUGAGUAACACGUGAGCAACCUGCCCAGAAGCAGGGAAUAAGCCACCGAAAGGUGGUCUAAUACCGUAUGUGAUUCCAAGGGGCAUCUCUUGGACAUUAAAGGGGGGGAUCUUCGGACCUCUCACUUCUGGAUGGGCUCGCGGCCUAUCAGCUUGUUGGUGAGGUAACGGCUCACCAAGGCAACGACGGGUAACUGGUCUGAGAGGACGACCAGUCACACUGGAACUGAGACACGGUCCAGACACCUACGGGUGGCAGCAGUCGAGAAUCAUUCACAAUGGGCGAAAGCCUGAUGGUGCGACGCCGCGUGGAGGAUGACAGCCCUAGGGUUGUAAACUCCUGUCAUGAGAGAGUAAAGACUUAACGUAAAUACCGUUGGGUCCUGAUAGUAUCUCAAGAGGAAGGGACGGCUAACUUCGUGCCAGCAGCCGCGGUAAUACGAAGGUCCCAAGCGUUGUUCGGAAUUACUGGGCGUAAAGCGUGCGUAGGCGGCAUGGUAAGUCAGAUGUGAAAUCCCAGGGCUCAACCCUGGAACUGCAUCCGAUACUGCCAAGCUAGAGUAGUGGAGGGGAGUCUGGAAUUCACGGUGUAGCAGUGAAAUGCGUAGAUAUCGUGAGGAAC